Molecule: ribosomal RNA, 402 nt
Filed under: uncultured bacterium
Lineage: Bacteria
Description: bacterial SSU rRNA
Rfam family: Bacterial small subunit ribosomal RNA
Source: RNAcentral
UCGGGAAUUUUGGGCAAUGGGCGAAAGCCUGACCCAGCAACGCCGCGUGAGGGAUGAAGUAUUUCGGUAUGUAAACCUCGAAAGAAUGGGAAGAAUAAAUGACGGUACCAUUUAUAAGCUCCGGCUAACUACGUGCCAGCAGCCGCGGUAAUACGUAGGGAGCAAGCGUUGUCCGGAUUUACUGGGUGUAAAGGGUGCGCAGGCGGAUGGGUAAGUCAGGGGUGAAAGUCUGCAGCUUAACUGUAGAAUUGCCUUUGAUACUGCUCAGCUUGAGUGUGGGAGAGGUUGAUGGAAUUCCAGGUGUAGCAGUGAAAUGCGUAGAUAUCUGGAAGAACACCAGUGGCGAAGGCGGUCAACUGGCCCAUAACUGACGCUCAUGCACGAAAGCGUGGGGAGCAAACA